UACGUAGGGUGCAAGCGUUAAUCGGAAUUACUGGGCGUAAAGCGUGCGCAGGCGGUUAUGUAAGACAGAUGUGAAAUCCCCGGGCUCAACCCGGGAACUGCAUUUGUGACUGCAUAGCUAGAGUACGGUAGAGGGGGAUGGAAUUCCGCGUGUAGCAGUGAAAUGCGUCGAUAUGCGGAGGAACACCGAUGGCGAAGGCAAUCCCCUGGACCUGUACUGACGCUCAUGCACGAAAGCGUGGGGAGCAAACAGG
RNAcentral lists this ribosomal RNA (253 nucleotides) under uncultured bacterium. RNAcentral's name for it is "partial 16S ribosomal RNA". It matches the Rfam family "Bacterial small subunit ribosomal RNA", at positions 524 to 776 of the family's 1533-position model. The record is from RNAcentral.